GCCGGCUGUGGUGGUGCAUGCUUGUAGUCCCAGUUACUAGGGAGACUGAGACAGGAGAGUCACUUGAGUCCAGGAGUUCUGGGCUAUAAUGCACUAUGCCAAUUGGGUGUCCACACUGAGUUCUACCUCAGUAUGGUAGCCUCCUGGGAGUAGGGGACCACCAGGUUGCCUAGGGAGGGGUGAACCGGCCCAGGUCACAAACACCCAUGUGACAAAAAGGAAGAAGGCAUUUCAGUACAUACCUGAGAUUUUAGCCCACUGCACCAUGGCCACUAAAAAUAAUCUGUGUCA
Molecule: unclassified non-coding RNA, 291 nt
Organism: Cricetulus griseus (Chinese hamster)
Lineage: Eukaryota; Metazoa; Chordata; Mammalia; Rodentia; Cricetidae
Rfam family: Metazoan signal recognition particle RNA
About the family: The signal recognition particle (SRP) is a universally conserved ribonucleoprotein. It is involved in the co-translational targeting of proteins to membranes.
Source: Ensembl